UACGUAGGGUGCAAGCGUUAAUCGGAAUUACUGGGCGUAAAGCGUGCGCAGGCGGUGAUGUAAGACAGUUGUGAAAUCCCCGGGCUCAACCUGGGAACUGCAUCUGUGACUGCAUCGCUGGAGUGCGGCAGAGGGGGAUGGAAUUCCGCGUGUAGCAGUGAAAUGCGUAGAUAUGCGGAGGAACACCGAUGGCGAAGGCAAUCCCCUGGGCCUGCACUGACGCUCAUGCACGAAAGCGUGGGGAGCGAACAGG
RNAcentral lists this ribosomal RNA (253 nucleotides) under uncultured bacterium. RNAcentral describes it as "partial 16S ribosomal RNA". It matches the Rfam family "Bacterial small subunit ribosomal RNA", at positions 524 to 776 of the family's 1533-position model. The record is from RNAcentral.